GCGAUGAAGGACGUGCUAAUCUGCGAUAAGCGUCGGUAAGGUGAUAUGAACCGUUAUAACCGGCGAUUUCCGAAUGGGGAAACCCAGUGUGAUUCGUCACACUAUCAUUAACUGAAUCCAUAGGUUAAUGAGGCGAACCGGGGGAACUGAAACAUCUAAGUACCCCGAGGAAAAGAAAUCAACCGAGAUUCCCCCAGUAGCGGCGAGCGAACGGGGAGCAGCCCAGAGCCUGAAUCAGUGUGUGUGUUAGUGGAAGCGUCUGGAAAGGCGUGCGAUACAGGGUGACAGCCCCGUACACAAAAAUGCACAUGCUGUGAGCUCGAUGAGUAGGGCGGGACACGUGGUAUCCUGUCUGAAUAUGGGGGGACCAUCCUCCAAGGCUAAAUACUCCUGACUGACCGAUAGUGAACCAGUACCGUGAGGGAAAGGCGAAAAGAACCCCGGCGAGGGGAGUGAAAAAGAACCUGAAACCGUGUACGUACAAGCAGUGGGAGCACGCUUAGGCGUGUGACUGCGUACCUUUUGUAUAAUGGGUCAGCGACUUAUAUUCUGUAGCAAGGUUAACCGAAUAGGGGAGCCGAAGGGAAACCGAGUCUUAACUGGGCGUUAAGUUGCAGGGUAUAGACCCGAAACCCGGUGAUCUAGCCAUGGGCAGGUUGAAGGUUGGGUAACACUAACUGGAGGACCGAACCGACUAAUGUUGAAAAAUUAGCGGAUGACUUGUGGCUGGGGGUGAAAGGCCAAUCAAACCGGGAGAUAGCUGGUUCUCCCCGAAAGCUAUUUAGGUAGCGCCUCGUGAAUUCAUCUCCGGGGGUAGAGCACUGUUUCGGCAAGGGGGUCAUCCCGACUUACCAACCCGAUGCAAACUGCGAAUACCGGAGAAUGUUAUCACGGGAGACACACGGCGGGUGCUAACGUCCGUCGUGAAGAGGGAAACAACCCAGACCGCCAGCUAAGGUCCCAAAGUCAUGGUUAAGUGGGAAACGAUGUGGGAAGGCCCAGACAGCCAGGAUGUUGGCUUAGAAGCAGCCAUCAUUUAAAGAAAGCGUAAUAGCUCACUGGUCGAGUCGGCCUGCGCGGAAGAUGUAACGGGGCUAAACCAUGCACCGAAGCUGCGGCAGCGACGCUGAUGCGUUGUUGGGUAGGGGAGCGUUCUGUAAGCCUGCGAAGGUGUGCUGUGAGGCAUGCUGGAGGUAUCAGAAGUGCGAAUGCUGACAUAAGUAACGAUAAAGCGGGUGAAAAGCCCGCUCGCCGGAAGACCAAGGGUUCCUGUCCAACGUUAAUCGGGGCAGGGUGAGUCGACCCCUAAGGCGAGGCCGAAAGGCGUAGUCGAUGGGAAACAGGUUAAUAUUCCUGUACUUGGUGUUACUGCGAAGGGGGGACGGAGAAGGCUAUGUUGGCCGGGCGACGGUUGUCCCGGUUUAAGCGUGUAGGCUGGUUUUCCAGGCAAAUCCGGAAAAUCAAGGCUGAGGCGUGAUGACGAGGCACUACGGUGCUGAAGCAACAAAUGCCCUGCUUCCAGGAAAAGCCUCUAAGCAUCAGGUAACAUCAAAUCGUACCCCAAACCGACACAGGUGGUCAGGUAGAGAAUACCAAGGCGCUUGAGAGAACUCGGGUGAAGGAACUAGGCAAAAUGGUGCCGUAACUUCGGGAGAAGGCACGCUGAUAUGUAGGUGAAGCGACUUGCUCGUGGAGCUGAAAUCAGUCGAAGAUACCAGCUGGCUGCAACUGUUUAUUAAAAACACAGCACUGUGCAAACACGAAAGUGGACGUAUACGGUGUGACGCCUGCCCGGUGCCGGAAGGUUAAUUGAUGGGGUCAGCGCAAGCGAAGCUCUUGAUCGAAGCCCCGGUAAACGGCGGCCGUAACUAUAACGGUCCUAAGGUAGCGAAAUUCCUUGUCGGGUAAGUUCCGACCUGCACGAAUGGCGUAAUGAUGGCCAGGCUGUCUCCACCCGAGACUCAGUGAAAUUGAACUCGCUGUGAAGAUGCAGUGUACCCGCGGCAAGACGGAAAGACCCCGUGAACCUUUACUAUAGCUUGACACUGAACAUUGAGCCUUGAUGUGUAGGAUAGGUGGGAGGCUUUGAAGUGUGGACGCCAGUCUGCAUGGAGCCGACCUUGAAAUACCACCCUUUAAUGUUUGAUGUUCUAACGUGGACCCGUGAUCCGGGUUGCGGACAGUGUCUGGUGGGUAGUUUGACUGGGGCGGUCUCCUCCUAAAGAGUAACGGAGGAGCACGAAGGUUGGCUAAUCCUGGUCGGACAUCAGGAGGUUAGUGCAAUGGCAUAAGCCAGCUUGACUGCGAGCGUGACGGCGCGAGCAGGUGCGAAAGCAGGUCAUAGUGAUCCGGUGGUUCUGAAUGGAAGGGCCAUCGCUCAACGGAUAAAAGGUACUCCGGGGAUAACAGGCUGAUACCGCCCAAGAGUUCAUAUCGACGGCGGUGUUUGGCACCUCGAUGUCGGCUCAUCACAUCCUGGGGCUGAAGUAGGUCCCAAGGGUAUGGCUGUUCGCCAUUUAAAGUGGUACGCGAGCUGGGUUUAGAACGUCGUGAGACAGUUCGGUCCCUAUCUGCCGUGGGCGCUGGAGAACUGAGGGGGGCUGCUCCUAGUACGAGAGGACCGGAGUGGACGCAUCACUGGUGUUCGGGUUGUCAUGCCAAUGGCACUGCCCGGUAGCUAAAUGCGGAAGAGAUAAGUGCUGAAAGCAUCUAAGCACGAAACUUGCCCCGAGAUGAGUUCUCCCUGACUCCUUGAGAGUCCUGAAGGAACGUUGAAGACGACGACGUUGAUAGGCCGGGUGUGUAAGCGCAGCGAUGCGUUGAGCUAACCGGUACUAAUGAACCGUGAGGCUUAACCUU
This 2859-nucleotide ribosomal RNA is filed under the name Escherichia coli. RNAcentral's name for it is "partial 23S ribosomal RNA". It matches the Rfam family "Bacterial large subunit ribosomal RNA". Lineage: Bacteria; Pseudomonadati; Pseudomonadota; Gammaproteobacteria; Enterobacterales; Enterobacteriaceae. The record is from RNAcentral.